Molecule: transfer RNA, 57 nt
Filed under: Bos taurus (domestic cattle)
Lineage: Eukaryota; Metazoa; Chordata; Mammalia; Artiodactyla; Bovidae
Also listed under: 1 other name
Rfam family: tRNA
About the family: Transfer RNA (tRNA) molecules are approximately 80 nucleotides in length. Their secondary structure includes four short double-helical elements and three loops (D, anti-codon, and T loops). Further hydrogen bonds mediate the characteristic L-shaped molecular structure. tRNAs have two regions of fundamental functional importance: the anti-codon, which is responsible for specific mRNA codon recognition, and the 3' end, to which the tRNAs corresponding amino acid is attached (by aminoacyl-tRNA synthetases). tRNAs cope with the degeneracy of the genetic code in two manners: having more than one tRNA (with a specific anti-codon) for a particular amino acid; and 'wobble' base-pairing, i.e. permitting non-standard base-pairing at the 3rd anti-codon position.
Source: Rfam by way of RNAcentral
UGGCUCAGACGGUAAAGUGUCUGCCUACAAUGCAGGAGACCCAGGUUCAAUUCCUGG